UGCCAUUCAUUGCCGUCUCAUAAGGGCAUCAUCAUCAAUCCAACAUAUAAAUACUUCAUUUAUAACAUGACUCUUAGUAGUUUACAUUACAUAUACGGGUACACAAACAAGAGACUCUCAACCGUCAGCGGAGUGACUUUAAGUAAAGGUAUCGCUACUGAGAUGCCAUAGUACCUACCAAGAAGACGAGCAUACGUGGACACUCAAUCUAGGUCCCAACUACCUACAAAUCUGAAAACAUGAAGUUUAAAAAUGUGAGUAUAAAAUUUAGUGAGUGAACAUAAGAAGGGAACAAGCAAUCGAUAAGGAGAACUUGGAAAUCAUGAUGCACUUGUUUCAAAAACAAUGCAAUUGAUUUAAUUUCUUUCUACAAACCCCUCAUUUCAAACUUUGAUUAAUAACCUCAUAGUGUUGCAAAAACCCAUGAUCAAUUCAUGAAGUUAAAUGGGUGAAAAAUAUGUCAAAAUCAAGCAAGGUAGCAAGCAUGAUAGCAAGUUUCUCGCUGCAACGAGAAACAUUCUCAAUUUGCAUAUGUUUUGAUUUUCAAGCAUAUCUCCCAUUAAAGAAGUCCAAUUGACAUGAUUUUUGAACCAUUAGAAAGCUAAAAGACUAGGCUACAACUUUGGUGUUUACCACUUUGCCCAGUUCUGUCGAAAGGUGGUCAAAAUAGUUGUCAAAGUGAAAGAACUACACUAGGAAAUUGGAACUACCCGAGAGUUUCUCGCUGCAGCGAGAAACAUUUUCGCUGUAGUGAAAUUCCUCACUGCAGCGAGAAUUCUUUUUCGGCUACAACAAGAAAUAGGGUUGGUUUGUGCUCCCACCACUUGAGAGUUUCUCGCUACAGCGAGAAUGAGAUUCAGGGCAGAUGACAAUUAAGGGAUUUUCACAUGCCACAAAAUCUAUUCCUACCAUAUUGCACAUCAAAGUGAACACAUUGACAAUAAUCAAGUUUCUAAUUAUUCAUUUCAAUCACAUAUUAUAAUCAUAAACUUUCUAUAACACAUAUAUAUAUAUAUACAUACAUCAUCAUGCAUACCAUUCUACCACACUCAGCUCAAGGCAACAUCAUCAUCAUGCGUGCACUCCCUACUCGCAGACUUCAACAUCAUCUUGUACGCACUCCUUACUCACACACUCUAACAUCAUCAUGUGUGCACUCCCUACUCGCACACUUCAACAUCGUCACACAACAUUAUUCAUCAAUGCACAACAUAUAUUCAUAUAUAUAUAUAUAUAUAUCAACAUAAUAUAGGAGCACAUGGAUUCAUCCUUUCACACAUUUCACAUUUUCAAAACAUCAAACAUUUUAUCAAGGGCUUGUUCCCUGGCACACAUUUUUAAAGGAAGGUUGGAUAAAAUCAUUCAAAUGUUUCAUCCAAAUACAUUUACAUUUCCCAAAGAAAUUUUGAAAUGCAAGUUCACUCACCGAUAUUUGUUGAAUCUUUAAUUGACUCUAACUUCGAUUAUUGCUUCAAACGGACAUGUGAGGCCUCGUUGGAACCUAUUACACACAAUAUAACCAUAAAAAAUAUAACAACCCACAAUUCUAAUUAUUAGCCAUCUCUAACCACCUAAAAUCAACCCUAACUCAUCUCUCACCUUGGUGGACUUAUAGUUGAACUCCUUUUUAAGAGUUUUCAAGCUACUAUGGCAAGUCUCUCUUUCUCUCUCUAAAACUUCCAGCUCAUGAGAGAAAGUGCUGAACAAAGACUUUUGAGGGUUUUAAAGUGGGAGAAUGAAAGAGCAUAAAAGGUUCUAUGAAAAAGUGCUAAAAAGCAUAAAAAUUGAAGCUAAAGAGAGAAAGUUAUGGAAGCUUUAAAGGAGGCUUCCAUGGAAGAUGAAGAAACGUGAGAUGGGA
Molecule: long non-coding RNA, 1858 nt
Filed under: Theobroma cacao (cacao)
Lineage: Eukaryota; Viridiplantae; Streptophyta; Magnoliopsida; Malvales; Malvaceae
Description: long non-coding RNA (TCAC_LNC001999)
Source: RNAcentral